RNAcentral lists this ribosomal RNA (241 nucleotides) under uncultured Staphylococcus sp. RNAcentral describes it as "partial 16S ribosomal RNA". It matches the Rfam family "Bacterial small subunit ribosomal RNA", at positions 99 to 334 of the family's 1533-position model. Lineage: Bacteria; Bacillati; Bacillota; Bacilli; Caryophanales; Staphylococcaceae. The record is from RNAcentral.
CGGACGGGUGAGUACCACGUGGAUAACCUACCUAUAAGACUGGGAUAACUUCGGGAAACCGGAGCUAAUACCGGAUAAUAUAUUGAACCGCAUGGUUCAAUAGUGAAAGACGGUUUUGCUGUCACUUAUAGAUGGAUCCGCGCCGCAUUAGCUAGUUGGUAAGGUAACGGCUUACCAAGGCAACGAUGCGUAGCCGACCUGAGAGGGUGAUCGGCCACACUGGAACUGAGACACGGUCCAG